Molecule: non-coding RNA, 413 nt
Organism: Pelobates cultripes (western spadefoot toad)
Lineage: Eukaryota; Metazoa; Chordata; Amphibia; Anura; Pelobatidae
Source: the annotation of a GenBank genome assembly
CCAACGUCACUGCUAUACUUUUCCGAAUUAGGUCUUUGGAAGAACCAACAACAAUGCGGGAUCCUCUAUACACAGAGUCAAUUCCCUGCAGCCGUCACUGCUGUCGGGAUCGACGCUGUAGCUACACACAGAGUCUAAGAAAGUCAAGUGGAGGAAAUAUACUCAGACAUGCUAGUCCCUACUUAGUCUCAAUAUAUUUCUUUCAGUGAAAUUCCUACACAGUCAAAAUCAGUAUUUCAUAAAGAUUCUAUCUUUAAGAAAUACUAAUUUUUCCGGGGUGGCGUUACAGUGCAGCUUUAGGCUUCAAACUUUUUUGUCAUGGUUUUCCCCGAUGUAAGCCAACAUUCCCAUAGUUUUGUAUUCUUGUAUCUUGCCUAUACUGCCUACACAACCUUGUAUCCUAACUAUUGUGU